CUUAACAUGAGCUGAUUCCUCUCCCCCUGAAAGAGCCACGCGGAGCCAGCGAGAGUAAGAGACCUGGAGAGAGCUGCAGAGACAGAAAGAGAAAGAAGGGAUCUGACAAAAAGGAUGCCAAUGAUGCUGGAAGACAGAACUGUAUACUUACCCCAGUCUCCAUUUUAAUGAAUGAGGAAAUGUGGUUCCACACACAAACCCUUGGCUCCCUGGUUUGGCUGCUGGCCUUGCUUCCUGUCAGCAUGGAUUUGGGAACCUGAGAGAGGCUUUAGUGUCAGAUGGGUAACUUUAAGCCUCUUCAACUGCUUAAAAAUGCAAUUUAAUCAAAAAAGAAAAAUGCAAUUAAUAAUGGUGAUGUGUCUGGUUUUGGUAUGCAUAUAGAAAAUUGAAUGUCGCCUACUUGUAAUUUUAUAAGAGGCAUUUGACUUGAGAUGUGAAUAACCACAACUAGAAUGUGCUUCACACUAUGCAUUUGUACCUUAGAAGAACUUACAUGUCUUUAUGAUGACCUUUGAAAUAAAAAGUAAACAGAG
This is a long non-coding RNA of Thunnus maccoyii (southern bluefin tuna), 533 nucleotides long. RefSeq lists it as uncharacterized. The record is from RefSeq and is a predicted model, not a curated record. NCBI's taxonomy places the organism in Eukaryota, Metazoa, Chordata, Actinopteri, Scombriformes, Scombridae. The transcript is spliced from 2 exons.